Molecule: long non-coding RNA, 720 nt
Organism: Trachemys scripta elegans
Lineage: Eukaryota; Metazoa; Chordata; Testudines; Emydidae
Exons: 4
Source: RefSeq, a predicted model, not a curated record
GAAGGAAGCCUGCCAGCAAAAAGCACUGUGUCAAAACAACAUCAGCUGCAUCCUUGUCUGAAGUUCUAGCUCCUUUGAGAAUCCAGAAGACCGUGAGGGCUGAAGAGCUACAAUGGAUUGUGGAGGUAUAUCUUGGAGUACAGAAGUACACUCUGGAUCCUUCACCUUGGAAAUAAGCUGACCGCAUGUCUUGUUUUCUGAAAAAGGGAUUGCAACCUGCCUGGCUGGCAUCUGCUGCUGCGGCCAGUCAAGUUAAAGCAAUUCCCCUCCUAGGAUGCAAUCAACUGACAAAUUCAGGAAAUGACGGCCAGUGUUCACAGGAGUUCAGGUGAAGAAACAGACACAGUUGCAAAUACUGGACCUGGAAUAUGGCUGAUAAGAUAGGAGGAAAGACUUCGAAGAAGAGGCCCCAAUUAUCAAAGAUGGUUCCAACCAGUUUUAGCAAAGGAAAGGAUUUGAGAAAUAGUGGCAAUAGUCAUAGGUCUGAUAAAUAAGGUAUAAAAAGGUCAGCUCUUGAGUUUGUUGCUAGUAGCUGCCUGUCCAGUUGGAGCCAGCCAAUAUGAGUUUGAGCAUCCCCAGUGCUAGUCCUAAGUACUUGAUCAAUACAAUAACAAAUUAUUAUAUGCGUGAGAUAAGUGUUGAACCAUCUGGCUCCCGCCUCUCAUGGUCCCACAAUACCAUUUUAAGAGUAUUAAUUUAGUGUUCCAACUGUACCUUAUA